Molecule: ribosomal RNA, 922 nt
Filed under: Flavobacterium aquidurense
Lineage: Bacteria; Pseudomonadati; Bacteroidota; Flavobacteriia; Flavobacteriales; Flavobacteriaceae
Description: bacterial SSU rRNA
Rfam family: Bacterial small subunit ribosomal RNA
Source: RNAcentral
CUUCGGAACUAGAGACCGGCGCACGGGUGCGUAACGCGUAUGCAAUCUACCUUUUACAGAGGGAUAGCCCAGAGAAAUUUGGAUUAAUACCUCAUAGUAUUACGACUCGGCAUCGAGAUGUAAUUAAAGUCACAACGGUAAAAGAUGAGCAUGCGUCCCAUUAGCUAGUUGGUAAGGUAACGGCUUACCAAGGCUACGAUGGGUAGGGGUCCUGAGAGGGAGAUCCCCCACACUGGUACUGAGACACGGACCAGACUCCUACGGGAGGCAGCAGUGAGGAAUAUUGGACAAUGGGCGCAAGCCUGAUCCAGCCAUGCCGCGUGCAGGAUGACGGUCCUAUGGAUUGUAAACUGCUUUUAUACGAGAAGAAACACUACUUCGUGAAGUAGCUUGACGGUAUCGUAAGAAUAAGGAUCGGCUAACUCCGUGCCAGCAGCCGCGGUAAUACGGAGGAUCCAAGCGUUAUCCGGAAUCAUUGGGUUUAAAGGGUCCGUAGGCGGUUUAGUAAGUCAGUGGUGAAAGCCCAUCGCUCAACGGUGGAACGGCCAUUGAUACUGCUAAACUUGAAUUAUUAGGAAGUAACUAGAAUAUGUAGUGUAGCGGUGAAAUGCUUAGAGAUUACAUGGAAUACCAAUUGCGAAGGCAGGUUACUACUAAUGGAUUGACGCUGAUGGACGAAAGCGUGGGUAGCGAACAGGAUUAGAUACCCUGGUAGUCCACGCCGUAAACGAUGGAUACUAGCUGUUGGAAGCAAUUUCAGUGGCUAAGCGAAAGUGAUAAGUAUCCCACCUGGGGAGUACGUUCGCAAGAAUGAAACUCAAAGGAAUUGACGGGGGCCCGCACAAGCGGUGGAGCAUGUGGUUUAAUUCGAUGAUACGCGAGGAACCUUACCAAGGCUUAAAUGUAGAUUGACCGUUUUGGA